AGUGCAAGAGCUCUUCCUUGCUAGCUAACGAGCUUUAGUUAUCUUAUCCUUGAAUGGACUGCACCAAAUAGACAAAACAGAAGAGUCAAGACUGAAAACCAAUCGAACAAAAACAGAGAUGACAUCGUUGGCUCAGCAUUUCACAGGCCUCAGAUGCCCACCGCUCUCAACUUCUCGCCUCUCCAAUCGACCUUCCCUAUUAUCUUCUCCUAAGCCCAGAAAGUUGCCUUUUGUAGUAUCUGCGGUGGCAAUAUCAAAUGCCCAGACCAAGGAGAGACAAAAGCUCAAACAGCUCUUCGAAGAAGCUUACGAACGCUGUCGUACUGCCCCUAUGGAAGGCGUUGCCUUCACUCUCGAUGAUUUUCACUCUGCUCUUGAUAAGUAUGAUUUCAAUUCCGAGAUUGGUACCACGGUCAAGGGCACAGUUUUCAUGACUGAUGCCAAUGGUGCAUUAGUUGACAUUACUGCAAAAUCUUCUGCGUAUUUACUAGUCCAAGAAGCAUGCAUUCACAAGAUAAAACACGUAGAAGAAGCUGGUAUAGUUCCUGGAUUGACAGAGGAGUUUGUUAUUAUUGGUGAAAAUGAAGCUGAUGAUAGUUUAGUCUUGAGCUUAAGGGCAAUUCAGUAUGACCUUGCCUGGGAAAGGUGUAGUCAGCUUCAAGCUGAGGAUGUUAUUGUGAAGGGUAAGGUGGGUACUUUUUCACAUCUAAGAAAUGUACUUACAAUCCUAUAUAUGUUGCAAUUUCCCUCUCUCAUGCAGUCAUGCUGGAUGUUGUAAGUUAUGAACGUUCCAUCCGAUAAGGAGGGGUGCCAUUCUAUUGUUAGUUCUUUUAGUUAUGCCAUUUGAAAUUUGGAUUACAAUGUAGGUUGUUGGUGCAAACAAAGGUGGAGUGGUUGCUCUAGUGGAGGGCCUCCGAGUAUUUGUCCCUUUCUCUCAGUUAUCAUCGAAAUCAACUGCAGAAGAACUUCUUGACAAGGAACUUCCACUGAAAUUUGUUGAUGUUGAUGAGGAACAGUCUAGGCUAGUACUCAGUAACCGCAAGGCCAUGGCAGACAGUCAGGCACAGCUGGGUAUCGGAUCGGUGGUCAUUGGAACUGUUCAGAGCCUGAAACCAUAUGGUGCAUUCAUUGACAUUGGUGGAAUCAAUGGCCUUCUUCAUGUCAGUCAGAUUAGUCAUGAUCGGGUCUCUGAUAUUGCAACAGUUCUUCAACCUGGUGAUAUUCUCAAGGUCAUGAUACUGAGCCAUGACCGUGAGAGAGGUAGAGUAAGUCUUUCUACCAAAAAGUUAGAACCUACUCCUGGUGAUAUGAUUCGCAAUCCAAAGCUUGUUUUCGAGAAGGCAGAGGAGAUGGCUCAGACAUUCAGGCAGAGAAUUGCUCAAGCAGAAGCUAUGGCUCGUGCAGACAUGCUGAGAUUCCAGCCUGAGAGUGGACUAACUCUGAGCUCUGAUGGGAUCUUGGGUCCGUUAACGUCGGACAUGCCAGCAGAGGGUUUAGACUUGAGUUAUGUUCCCACAGCAGAGGAUUGAUGAUUGAGCUUGCAAUACUUUCGUCCCUGGUCAUUGAUUUGGUCAGUAAAAUUAAAAUUGUACAAAUGGCUUCAUUUGAGCCUGGGCUAUAAAGUUACCAUUGUAUUCCAUUUGAUUUUA
This 1649-nucleotide unclassified non-coding RNA is filed under the name Hevea brasiliensis (rubber tree). The record is from RNAcentral. Lineage: Eukaryota; Viridiplantae; Streptophyta; Magnoliopsida; Malpighiales; Euphorbiaceae.